This 497-nucleotide ribosomal RNA is filed under the name uncultured bacterium. RNAcentral's name for it is "partial 16S ribosomal RNA". It matches the Rfam family "Bacterial small subunit ribosomal RNA", at positions 28 to 507 of the family's 1533-position model. The record is from RNAcentral.
GAUGAACGCUGGCGGCGUGCCUAAUACAUGCAAGUCGAGCGAACGGACGAGAAGCUUGCUUCUCUGAUGUUAGCGGCGGACGGGUGAGUAACACGUGGAUAACCUACCUAUAAGACUGGGAAAACUUCGGGAAACCGGAUCUAAUACCGGAUGAUAUUUUGAACCGCAUGGUUCAAAAGUGAAAGACGGUCUUGCUGUCACUUAUAGAUGGAUCCGCGCUGCAUUAGCUAGUUGGUAAGGUAACGGCUUACCAAGGCAACGAUGCAUAGCCGACCUGAGAGGGUGAUCGGCCACACUGGAACUGAGACACGGUCCAGACUCCUACGGGAGGCAGCAGUAGGGAAUCUUCCGCAAUGGGCGAAAGCCUGACGGAGCAACGCCGCGUGAGUGAUGAAGGUCUUCGGAUCGUAAAACUCUGUUAUUAGGGAAGAACAUAUGUGUAAGUAACUGUGCACAUCUUGACGGUACCUAAUCAGAAAGCCACGGCUAACUACGUG